CAGUCGCCGCGGUAAUACAGAGGGUGCGAGCGUUAAUCGGAUUUACUGGGCGUAAAGCGUGCGUAGGCGGCUUCUUAAGUCGGAUGUGAAAUCCCUGAGCUUAACUUAGGAAUUGCAUUCGAUACUGGGAAGCUAGAGUAUGGGAGAGGAUGGUAGAAUUCCAGGUGUAGCGGUGAAAUGCGUAGAGAUCUGGAGGAAUACCGAUGGCGAAGGCAGCCCCCUGGGCCAAUACUGACGCUCAUGCACGAAAGCGUGGGGAGCAAACAGGAUUAGAUACCCGCGUAGUCCCUGUCUCUUAUAC
RNAcentral lists this ribosomal RNA (301 nucleotides) under uncultured bacterium. RNAcentral describes it as "partial 16S ribosomal RNA". It matches the Rfam family "Bacterial small subunit ribosomal RNA", at positions 509 to 807 of the family's 1533-position model. The record is from RNAcentral.